RNAcentral lists this ribosomal RNA (492 nucleotides) under uncultured bacterium. RNAcentral describes it as "partial 16S ribosomal RNA". It matches the Rfam family "Bacterial small subunit ribosomal RNA", at positions 29 to 507 of the family's 1533-position model. The record is from RNAcentral.
AGUGAACGCUGGCGGUAGGCCUAACACAUGCAAGUCGAACGGCAGCACAGUAAGAGCUUGCUCUUACGGGUGGCGAGUGGCGGACGGGUGAGGAAUACAUCGGAAUCUACUUUUUCGUGGGGGAUAACGUAGGGAAACUUACGCUAAUACCGCAUACGACCUACGGGUGAAAGCAGGGGAUCUUCGGACCUUGCGCGAUUGAAUGAGCCGAUGUCGGAUUAGCGAGUUGGCGGGGUAAAGGCCCACCAAGGCGACGAUCCGUAGCUGGUCUGAGAGGAUGAUCAGCCACACUGGAACUGAGACACGGUCCAGACUCCUACGGGAGGCAGCAGUGGGGAAUAUUGGACAAAGGGCGCAAGCCUGAUCCAGCCAUACCGCGUGGGUGAAGAAGGCCUUCGGGUUGUAAAGCCCUUUUGUUGGGAAAGAAAAGCAGCAGGUUAAUACCCCGCUGUUCUGACGGUACCCAAAGAAUAAGCACCGGCUAACUUCGUG